RNAcentral lists this ribosomal RNA (501 nucleotides) under uncultured bacterium. RNAcentral's name for it is "partial 16S ribosomal RNA". It matches the Rfam family "Bacterial small subunit ribosomal RNA", at positions 30 to 523 of the family's 1533-position model. The record is from RNAcentral.
AUUGAACGCUGGCGGCAGGCUUAACACAUGCAAGUCGAGCGGAGCGAGGGUGCUUGCACCUUAGCUUAGCGGCGGACGGGUGAGUAAUGCUUAGGAAUCUGCCUAUUAGUGGGGGACAACAUUCCGAAAGGAAUGCUAAUACCGCAUACGCCCUACGGGGGAAAGCAGGGGAUCUUCGGACCUUGCGCUAAUAGAUGAGCCUAAGUCGGAUUAGCUAGUUGGUGGGGUAAAGGCCUACCAAGGCGACGAUCUGUAGCGGGUCUGAGAGGAUGAUCCGCCACACUGGGACUGAGACACGGCCCAGACUCCUACGGGAGGCAGCAGUGGGGAAUAUUGGACAAUGGGCGGAAGCCUGAUCCAGCCAUGCCGCGUGUGUGAAGAAGGCCUUUUGGUUGUAAAGCACUUUAAGCGAGGAGGAGGCUACUUAGAUUUAUACUCUGGGAUAGUGGACGUUACUCGCAGAAUAAGCACCGGCUAACUACGUGCCAGCAGCCGCCGUAA